GCUUGCUUCUCUGAUGUUAGCGGCGGACGGGUGAGUAACACGUGGAUAACCUACCUAUAAGACUGGGAUAACUUCGGGAAACCGGAGCUAAUACCGGAUAAUAUUUUGAACCGCAUGGUUCAAAAGUGAAAGACGGUCUUGCUGUCACUUAUAGAUGGAUCCGCGCUGCAUUAGCUAGUUGGUAAGGUAACGGCUUACCAAGGCAACGAUGCAUAGCCGACCUGAGAGGGUGAUCGGCCACACUGGAACUGAGACACGGUCCAGACUCCUACGGGAGGCAGCAGUAGGGAAUCUUCCGCAAUGGGCGAAAGCCUGACGGAGCAACGCCGCGUGAGUGAUGAAGGUCUUCGGAUCGUAAAACUCUGUUAUUAGGGAAGAACAUAUGUGUAAGUAACUGUGCACAUCUUGACGGUACCUAAUCAGAAAGCCACGGCUAACUACGUGCCAGCAGCCGCGGUAAUACGUAGGUGGCAAGCGUUAUCCGGAAUUAUUGGGCGUAAAGCGCGCGUAGGCGGUUUUUUAAGUCUGAUGUGAAAGCCCACGGCUCAACCGUGGAGGGUCAUUGGAAACUGGAAAACUUGAGUGCAGAAGAGGAAAGUGGAAUUCCAUGUGUAGCGGUGAAAUGCGCAGAGAUAUGGAGGAACACCAGUGGCGAAGGCGACUUUCUGGUCUGUAACUGACGCUGAUGUGCGAAAGCGUGGGGAUCAAACAGGAUUAGAUACCCUGGGUAGUCCACGCCGUAAACGAUGAGUGCUAAGUGUUAGGGGGUUUCCGCCCCUUAGUGCUGCAGCUAACGCAUUAAGCACUCCGCCUGGGGAGUACGACCGCAAGGUUGAAACUCAAAGGAAUUGACGGGGACCCGCACAAGCGGUGGAGCAUGUGGUUUAAUUCGAAGCAACGCGAAGAACCUUACCAAAUCUUGACAUCCUUUGACAACUCUAGAGAUAGAGCUUUCCCCUUCGGGGGACAAAGUGACAGGUGGUGCAUGGUUGUCGUCAGCUCGUGUCGUGAGAUGUUGGGUUAAGUCCCGCAACGAGCGCAACCCUUAAGCUUAGUUGCCAUCAUUAAGUUGGGCACUCUAAGUUGACUGCCGGUGACAAACCGGAGGAAGGUGGGGAUGACGUCAAAUCAUCAUGCCCCUUAUGAUUUGGGCUACACACGUGCUACAAUGGACAAUACAAAGGGCAGCGAAACCGCGAGGUCAAGCAAAUCCCAUAAAGUUGUUCUCAGUUCGGAUUGUAGUCUGCAACUCGACUACAUGAAGCUGGAAUCGCUAGUAAUCGUAGAUCAGCAUGCUACGGUGAAUACGUUCCCGGGUCUUGUACACACCGCCCGUCACACCACGAGAGUUUGUAACACCCGAAGCCGGUGGAGUAA
This 1377-nucleotide ribosomal RNA is filed under the name Staphylococcus argenteus. RNAcentral's name for it is "bacterial SSU rRNA". It matches the Rfam family "Bacterial small subunit ribosomal RNA", at positions 78 to 1438 of the family's 1533-position model. The record is from RNAcentral. Lineage: Bacteria; Bacillati; Bacillota; Bacilli; Caryophanales; Staphylococcaceae.